This 214-nucleotide long non-coding RNA is filed under the name Mytilus galloprovincialis (Mediterranean mussel). The record is from RNAcentral. Lineage: Eukaryota; Metazoa; Mollusca; Bivalvia; Mytilida; Mytilidae.
GGGAGAAAGGAGAGGAAGGCUGGGAGAAAGGAGAAAAAGUUGGAGAAAGGAGAAAAAAUAAAAUAUCUCUCCUUUUAAAAAAUGAUCUAAUAUUUCAAGAAAAAAUAUCUCAAAAGGAGAUGUUUUAUUAAUGGAGAAAGGAGAACGGGGGUAGGAGAAAGGAGAAGAGGGUGGGAGAAGGGAGAAGGGUACCCCCCUGUCCUCCCCCUCAAUA